GACGAACGCUGGCGGCGUGCCUAAUACAUGCAAGUCGAGCGAACAGACGAGGAGUUUGUUCCGCACACGAGUGCCGCGCACGGGAGAGUAACACGUGGAUACUCUACCUAUAAGAGUGGUAUAACUGCGGGAAUGCGGAUCUAAUACCGGAUGAUAUAUUGAACCGCAUGGUUUAGUAGUGAAAUACGGUUUUUCGGUCAAGUAUAGAUGGUUCCGCGCCGCAUUAGCUAGUUGGUAAGGUAACGGCUUACCAAGGCAACCGUGCGUAGACGACCUGAGGGGCUGAUCGGCGACACGAGAACUGAGACAGGGACAAGACUACUGCGAGAGGCAGCAGUCGGGAAUCUGCCGCAAUGGGCGAAAGCCUUACGGAGUAACGCCGCGUGAGUGAUGGCGGUCUUGGGAUCGUAAAGCUCUGUUACUAGGGAAGAACCAAUGUGUAAGUAACUGUGCACGUCUUGACGGUACCUACUCAGAAAGCCACGGCUAACUACGUG
Molecule: ribosomal RNA, 497 nt
Filed under: uncultured bacterium
Lineage: Bacteria
Description: partial 16S ribosomal RNA
Rfam family: Bacterial small subunit ribosomal RNA
Source: RNAcentral